This 319-nucleotide unclassified non-coding RNA is filed under the name air metagenome. RNAcentral describes it as "partial contains small subunit ribosomal RNA, internal transcribed spacer 1, and 5.8S ribosomal RNA". The stretch from base 1 to 46 matches the Rfam family "Eukaryotic small subunit ribosomal RNA", at positions 1786 to 1831 of the family's 1831-position model. The record is from RNAcentral.
AAGUCGUAACAAGGUUUCCGUAGGUGAACCUGCGGAAGGAUCAUUAUUGAAUAACUUUGAAUACUUUCUGAACUGUGCUGCCUUCUAGGAUGUGCACGUUUGAAAGUACUUCUUUGUCCACCUGUGCACCUUUUGUAGACUCUGGAUUAUCACUUCUCGUCUUAAAUGAACGGAUUGAAGGGUUGCGUUAUACGCUCUCUUUGGGUUUUCCAGGUCUAUGUUUUAUACUAUACUCUGAAUGUUUAGAAUGUCUUGUUUAUUGGACUUCACUGUCCUAUAAAAACUUAUACAACUUUCAACAACGGAUCUCUUGGCUCUC